GGGGAAUAUUGGACAAUGGGCGAAAGCCUGAUCCAGCCAUGCCGCGUGUGUGAAGAAGGUCUUCGGAUUGUAAAGCACUUUAAGUUGGGAGGAAGGGCUGCUGGUUAAUACCCUGCAGUUUUGACGUUACCAACAGAAUAAGCACCGGCUAACUUCGUGCCAGCAGCCGCGGUAAUACGAAGGGUGCAAGCGUUAAUCGGAAUUACUGGGCGUAAAGCGCGCGUAGGUGGUUGGGUAAGUUGAAUGUGAAAGCCCCGGGCUCAACCUGGGAACUGCAUCCAAAACUGCCCGACUAGAGUACGGUAGAGGGUGGUGGAAUUUCCUGUGUAGCGGUGAAAUGCGUAGAUAUAGGAAGGAACACCAGUGGCGAAGGCGACCACCUGGACUGAUACUGACACUGAGGUGCGAAAGCGUGGGGAGCAAAC
This 425-nucleotide ribosomal RNA is filed under the name uncultured bacterium. RNAcentral's name for it is "bacterial SSU rRNA". It matches the Rfam family "Bacterial small subunit ribosomal RNA", at positions 356 to 773 of the family's 1533-position model. The record is from RNAcentral.